ACGUACACUCCUGCGGGAGGCAGCAGUGGGGAAUAUUGCACAAUGGGCGCAAGCCUGAUGCAGCCAUGCCGCGUGUAUGAAGAAGGCCUUCGGGUUGUAAAGUACUUUCAGCGGGGAGGAAGGCGAUAAGGUUAAUAACCUUGUUGAUUGACGUUACCCGCAGAAGAAGCACCGGCUAACUCCGUGCCAGCAGCCGCGGUAAUACGGAGGGUGCAAGCGUUAAUCGGAAUUACUGGGCGUAAAGCGCACGCAGGCGGUCUGUCAAGUCGGAUGUGAAAUCCCCGGGCUCAACCUGGGAACUGCAUUCGAAACUGGCAGGCUAGAGUCUUGUAGAGAGGGGUAGAAUUCCAGGUGUAGCGGUGAAAUGCGUAGAGAUCUGGAGGAAUACCGGUGGCGAAGGCGGCCCCCUGGACAAAGACUGACGCUCAGGUGCGAAAGCGUGGGGAGCAAACAGGAUUAGAUACCCCUGUAGUCCCAUG
This 479-nucleotide ribosomal RNA is filed under the name uncultured organism. RNAcentral describes it as "partial 16S ribosomal RNA". It matches the Rfam family "Bacterial small subunit ribosomal RNA", at positions 329 to 799 of the family's 1533-position model. The record is from RNAcentral.